RNAcentral lists this ribosomal RNA (492 nucleotides) under uncultured bacterium. Its description in RNAcentral is "partial 16S ribosomal RNA". It matches the Rfam family "Bacterial small subunit ribosomal RNA", at positions 30 to 507 of the family's 1533-position model. The record is from RNAcentral.
AGUGAACGCUGGCGGUAGGCCUAACACAUGCAAGUCGAACGGCAGCACAGUAAGAGCUUGCUCUUACGGGUGGCGAGUGGCGGACGGGUGAGGAAUACAUCGGAAUCUACUUUUUCGUGGGGGAUAACGUAGGGAAACUUACGCUAAUACCGCAUACGACCUACGGGUGAAAGCAGGGGAUCUUCGGACCUUGCGCGAUUGAAUGAGCCGAUGUCGGAUUAGCUAGUUGGCGGGGUAAAGGCCCACCAAGGCGACGAUCCGUAGCUGGUCUGAGAGGAUGAGAACCCACAGGGGCAUGGGGACAGGGACAAGCCCCAGACGGGGACGAGAAGCGGGAAUGGGGGGAAGAGGGCCGAGGGCGGAACCCAGCCACAGCGGGGGGGGGAGGAGGACUUCGGGUUUGUAGACCUUUUUUUUGGGAGAGGAAAAGGAGGAGAUAAAUACCCCCUUGUGGUGACGGUACAAAAAGAAGAAGCACCGGCUAACUGCGGG